UACAGAGGUCUCGAGCGUUAGGCGGAAUCACUGGGCUUAAAGCGUGUGUAGGCGGACUGGUAAGUACCUUGUGAAAUCCCACGGCUCAACCGUGGAACUGCUUGGUAUACUGCUUGUCUUGUGCAACCUAGGGGCGAGCGGAACAGAUGGUGGAGCGGUGAAAUGCGUAGAUAUCAUCUGGAACGCCAAUGGUGAAAACAGCUCGCUGGGGGUUUGCAGACGCUGAGACACGAAAGCCAGGGGAGCGAACGGG
Molecule: ribosomal RNA, 253 nt
Filed under: uncultured bacterium
Lineage: Bacteria
Description: partial 16S ribosomal RNA
Rfam family: Bacterial small subunit ribosomal RNA
Source: RNAcentral